GAUGAACGCUGGCGGCGUGCCUAAUACAUGCAAGUCGAGCGAACAGACGAGGAGCUUGCUCCUCUGACGUUAGCGGCGGACUGGUGAGUAACACGUGGAUAACCUACCUAUAAGACUGGGAUAACUUCGGGAAACCGGAGCUAAUACCGGAUAAUAUAUUGAACCGCAUGGUUCAAUAGUGAAAGACGGUUUUGCUGUCACUUAUAGAUGGAUCCGCGCCGCAUUAGCUAGUUGGUAAGGUAACGGCUUACCAAGGCAACGAUGCGUAGCCGACCUGAGAGGGUGAUCGGCCACACUGGAACUGAGACACGGUCCAGACUCCUACGGGAGGCAGCAGUAGGGAAUCUUCCGCAAUGGGCGAAAGCUUGACGGAGCAACGCCGCGUGAGUGAUGAAGGUCUUCGGAUCGUAAAACUCUGUUAUUAGGGAAGAACAAAUGUGUAAGUAACUAUGCACGUCUUGACGGUACCUAAUCAGAAAGCCACGGCUAACUACGUG
Molecule: ribosomal RNA, 497 nt
Filed under: uncultured bacterium
Lineage: Bacteria
Description: partial 16S ribosomal RNA
Rfam family: Bacterial small subunit ribosomal RNA
Source: RNAcentral